This 253-nucleotide ribosomal RNA is filed under the name uncultured bacterium. RNAcentral's name for it is "partial 16S ribosomal RNA". It matches the Rfam family "Bacterial small subunit ribosomal RNA", at positions 524 to 776 of the family's 1533-position model. The record is from RNAcentral.
UACGUAGGGUGCGAGCGUUAAUCGGAAUUACUGGGCGUAAAGCGUGCGCAGGCGGUUGUGUAAGACAGAUGUUAAAUCCCCGGGCUUAACCUGGGAAUUGCAUUUGAGACUGCACGACUAGAGUGUGUCAGAGGGGGGUGGAAUUCCACGUGUAGCAGUGAAAUGCGUAGAUAUGUGGAGGAACACCAAUGGCGAAGGCAGCCCCCUGGGAUAACACUGACGCUCAUGCACGAAAGCGUGGGGAGCAAACAGG